UACGUAGGGUGCGAGCGUUGUCCGGAUUUAUUGGGCGUAAAGGGCUCGUAGGCGGCGUGUCGCGUCGGGAGUGAAAGACCGGGGCUUAACCCCGGUUCUGCUUCCGGUACGGGCAUGCUGGAGUGUGGCAGGGGAGACUGGAAUUCCUGGUGUAGCGGUGAAAUGCGCAGAUAUCAGGAAGAACACCCGUGGCGAAAGCGGCUCUCUGGAACGGUACUGACGCUGAGACGCGAAAGCGUGGGGAGCGAACAGG
RNAcentral lists this ribosomal RNA (253 nucleotides) under uncultured bacterium. RNAcentral describes it as "partial 16S ribosomal RNA". It matches the Rfam family "Bacterial small subunit ribosomal RNA", at positions 524 to 776 of the family's 1533-position model. The record is from RNAcentral.